Molecule: non-coding RNA, 45 nt
Organism: Aedes aegypti (yellow fever mosquito)
Lineage: Eukaryota; Metazoa; Arthropoda; Insecta; Diptera; Culicidae
Source: Rfam
AAAACGGCCCUCUUUAGGGCCACAAUAAUGCAUUCGACGUAGAAG